UUGGAGUGUCGGGAUGAGUUUGAAAUUGGCUGUUAGUGCACAGCAAUAUUGAUCCUAAUCUUUAACAUUCUUCUACUCUGACUUAGCUGUAUGUAAACAUGGACAACGCGCUGCCAUCUACUUCCAUUAUAAAAAGUGAAGCCAAAAUCCUACUGCAUAUUAUGUUGGUGACAUAUAUUUGAUCAAUGACAUGCAGAGGCGAUCUGGUGGGUUGAAGUUCAAGGACUCUGGUGUUAGCGUCAAUGAUCUGCCAUAAUCGAUGGUGUAUUUUUGACCUAUACCACAGCUGACCACCAGGGGGAGCUUGAUAAGUUUUUGCUUCACUUUAGGAAACUGUUGUAUCAUCUGUAGUUUAAAUAGACUGAUCACAAUAUAGAGACUUGUACUCACUUCAGCAAAAGUACGAAAAGUACAAAACCAAAAGGUGAUUUGGUUGGUUAUUUGGUCCACACUGUACAGUUCUCUUAAAACAGUUGAGUGGUGAAGUCACUUGACAGAAACUGUUUGUUCUGAAAUCAAACAACACUUCAUAAAUAUCUGCGCGGACUUGCCUUCAGUUCCCCUGGUAUCCAAAAGAGGCAACUCAGAGAGAGACGGAUGCUUUCAGGCAUGCAUUAUUCACGGCUUUAAUUCCACAACCCUACAAAAAAAGAGAGAAAACACAGGAGUUUGUGUUUAUUUUAUUUAUCUCUCAAAUCCACAAAUAGAUAGCUGCAAAAUGUUCCUCCUUAAAAAUUUAUGAUGAGGCUUCAAAUGGUGAACCCUCGCUCACGGUGCCCUGAAAGUGUUAUGACCAAUAUCUGGGCAGGUUUUCAUCUGGAGUCCUACACUUUGAGGAGGAAAGAAGGACUAAAGAGAAAAGAAAACAGAGCUUUUCAUUUCUGGGCUUUUUUAAGGGUGUAAAAUAAAACAUAAUCAGGAGGAAUUCUCAGGAAUUUUGAGCCUAUUCUUGAGUAAAUAAGACAUGAGAACCCUUGAAUUAUUAGUCAGACAGUGCUACACAACACCGACUUCUUUAUACUGUCAAAAAAACUGAGCUCUCGCCUCAGAAAGUGCUUCUUUAUUCAGUAAAAAUGGGCGUUUAAGGUCGGGACGCUCCAAAGUGCGUCAUUCCCAUUUGAAUUCCAUAAACGUUAAAAAACACUCAGAACACUGUCAAUAUUUGGCACGGUUUACGCAGAACAGUUAAACAUGGGAUCACAGAUUUAGUGGUGAAUGAUGCCAAGUUGUUUUGCCAAAGAAUAGCAGAGCUAGCACCACCAGCCUUCAAUUCUCUUUGCUAGUAUGCGUCCUCAUACAUGCGCUAGCUACAGAUUGCUACACACAACUUGAUCUUCAUUUUCUAGAUGAAAAUAUUGCCAAUCUGUGCAGAAUUAUUUACAUCUGGAUUUUAGUGCUUGAUGGCAUCACGGUGGUAGCCAUAUAUUGCAGCAACAGCCCAGAUUACACGAGUACAAACUACAGAUGUUAAUCAUUUCUUUAGACAAUGAGUGACUCCUUAAAUCUUCCGUUGACUACACAUUACAAAUUUUAAGUCACUGAUGAGACCCAGUUCCUUUCUGUCGACCCAAAACUGUAAACCUUUGAUAUUUUGUUUUCAUAUUCCAAGAUUAAAGGACAAACAUUUAAGGUUCAGAGUGUCCGCUUUAUGAGCAGUGAGGCGACCAGCCUAGCUUAGCACAAAGACUAAAAACAGAAGAAAAGCUCACAAAAUGUUCAGUCAAGUCCAAAGUUUCACCAAAACAUAUAAAUUCAUGUUGAUUUUGACAUCAAGUUAAGGUUAAACGGUAAAUGAACAACUGUUUAGGAGGUUUUAUCUUAUGAAUACAUCAUGACGAACGCUAAACUCAAUAACACACGGAUUUACUUAGCCUACAAGCGUCUACAUCAUAUCUCCUACAAUUCAGAAACUCAUGUUUCAUGUUGAGUGGGUUAUUUUGAUUAAAAUUAUCUUAUUAUUUCAGUGUCAAAGGUGAGGUAGGCUGGAUCUGAGGAAGUGCCAGUAUUUGGGAGAAAUCUUGAAUGUAAACACUACCCAACAGUUUUCCCCUCAGCUCCUCCUCUCCCCUCCCUCUCUGCUCCAGCAAGCCCCGCCCACAAACAGACGCUCCUGCUCGCUCGUAUCGUUCCAAUUAAAUUCAGAUAUAAUGCAGAUAAAUACUUCAGAUAAUUACAAAUGGAUCCCAGUCAACCCCACCUUUAACACAUCAUGGAUCUGAGCGAUGUUAGUCUGCUGAAAUAUGGUUUUACAUUCCAGUUGCUUGGUAUGGAAUACAGAUUCAUCAGUUUUAGUCUCUUCUGCUGUGGCUGCAGGUAGUUUAGCUUCAAUCAUCUAUUAGAAUGUGCAUUUCUUUGCACACCAGAGAUUUAAACUCUUUGUUUGCAGAUCUACAGAUACGUCACCCUCGCAAAUGGAGACAAGGUGUUUGGGAAGGUUUAAGUGAGGCUUAGCCAAAUGUGCUCUGUACUAUCUAGGGGUAUUUUUUUUACUCUAAACCGCUUUAUUAUCAAGACUUGUAGCCACAAACUGUGAGCCAUCAGGGAGUCCUUUGUGAAGCCUCCAGGUGUUUUACAGAGCCAGGCUAGCUGUUUCCUCCUGCUUCCAGUCUGAAUGCUAAGCUAAGCUAAUCACCUCCUGGCUGCAAGUCCAUCCUGAUAUGAAUUUCCUUUUAAAACAACGACCUAAUCUCAAAUUUGCAAGAAAACAGCAUGUAAUCGACUGCAGAAGUUCAAAAACAUCAGUUUCUGGAGUAUCUGGAGUAUCUGGAGUGCUGUCCUGUAUUGUUGUUUUUUCCUCUCAGGACAUUUAUCACUCUGACAUUGAGUACAAGAAAAAAAUUAAAUAAAUAAGAGAUGAGCCGGUCAAAGCUGCAUUUCAAACUCAAUUGUGUUUAAACUCACUCAUACUGGGGAUUUUCAAAGGCAUCCCUUCAUGUGGAGCGAAGCACUCUCCAAAAAAAAGGGAAGGGGAAAAAAAAAACGCUUUGAGAUUUGGGGGGAAGUGGCUGAACAGAUUGUUAUGUCACCAUUAGGGAGCUGUAAUAAAGUCAUAUUUCUUUUGCAUUUUGCAUGACUGGAGGGCCUUCCACUCUCGCCUGUCUGCUCCUUUCACAUCAGCCUCCCUUAAGUGGAGCAGUUCUGGGCUGCAGGUUUUGCCUCGCUGCUGCCAGAGAGUGUCUGUGCCGGAUAGCGUUGCAUGAUUACACUCGGCAGCGCACAAUUUUGUCGACAGCGUUAUAGCAGGAGAAUAAAAUAUCUUAGGCCUCAUUAAACGCCCACACAUUCGGAAAUUAGAAACCAGUAAUUCAUCAUUGGGAAGAUAAGAGAGGAGAGAUAAAAAAAUAAGUGUUUUAACCGGUUAUUUACGAGGAAGUAAGCGCAGAUAAGAGCCAGACAUGUGUCAGGAUAUGACUGUAAAUAAAAGCAGAACAGGAAAAAAGGGUGUAAAAGACUUAUGAGAUUAUUAUAACGAAGUAAAGUCUCAUUUCUGGAUCUCCCUGUGGUGUUAAACCCAUAAACACUGCUCCCAUGUGUCAUCCUCUCUGAGUAAAACGAGAAAUGAUUCUGAUCCUGAUAAACCGUGACAAUCAAGUGCAUAAAAUUCAUUGUGUUUCCUCAGAGCUGUAAAACACUAAAGCGGUUCUGACAGAUUAUCUUUCGCCAGAAGCCCGAGCAAACACAACAAUAAUGCUUUCUGCUGUACAUGUGGAAGUGCUACAGCAAAAAAGCACACUGUCAUAUUAAUGCUGCUCUGUUUUUAAGUGGCAUCCUGAGUAUGAGGCCCAAAAGUUUGCUUGGUGGCUCAUAAAUAAUUCAGCAGCUGAUGAAUUAAUAACAAAUCCUCAUUGUCAGCUGGUGAAAUUAUGAGGCAGCAACCACAGUUUUAUGGGCAAUUUCCUCUCUCUGCAGCUCUAGGGUGGAUUUGAUUGUUUAUCUAAGACUAAAUGAGUGACAUUUAAAGUGAAAUUAAGCUAAACUAGGAUGGGGACAAAGUCAGAAACAUGAAAACUUUAACUUUCAACAUGUGCAGGAGAACAACAGUGGGCAAAGAUGUAAUAAAGACGAUUGUGGAGCCACUUCUUUGACCUUUUUUGAAAACUGGAACAUGCUGCCUUAACAUUACAAGAACAAAUCUUACGUAAUGAUCCUUUAAGGUUCACUGUUUAGCACAGAGUGCAUAGCUCAGGCCUCUGGUGGUCACACAGAUUUUAAAAGCAACAGCUUUCCAGAGCUGCAUUCCAUCCAGAAAACUAACCGCACAAGCCUGUUGAAGUUAAAACAAGUUGUAUUUUGAAAAGUUACUUCAGGUGGGUUUUAAAGGGAUAUUCCAACAUAAUAUUAAUUUAGGGUCAAACACAGCGCAACACCGAUUUAGACACCCCCUCAAGAGAUGAAUGUUGCCGACCGCUUGCCUCUCUAGUUAUACCAACUUUAGUAACGACCGCACGAUAGCAAUACACAGCGGUCUGAGGAGCCAUAAACAAACCUCAACCAAAACGCCACUUUAUAGCCACAAAUAAUACUCAGAACAGCACCUAACUUCAUCAACAUAAAUGCUCUACCUUGAGCUGCGUCACCCCACAGAAGUCUGUAAUGGACUGGCCUGAGGUCUCGCUACAAAACAAGCGGCUGCUGAAAGAGAGUAGGUGAGUUGUGUUUAGUCUCUUAGCUAAAGAAAUCAGGCAAAGUUAAAAAGAUGUUUAGUAGCUAGUGCUGUGGCUAGGACCCUAUAUGUACUGUUGAUGAAGUUAGGUGCUGUUCUGAGCAUUAUUUGUAGCUAAAGAGUGGUGUUUUGGUUGAGGUUUGUUUAUGGCUCCUCAGACCGCUGUGUAUUGCUAUCGUGCGGUCGUUACUAAAGUUUGUUUAACUAGAGAACAUUCAUCUCUUGGGGGGGUGUCUAACUCAGUGUUACUGUGUGUUUGACACUAAAUUAAUUUUACGCCAGAAUAUCCCUUUAAGUUGUAAAAAUGAAUGAAAAUAACUGCACUUAGCACCCCUAAAAAAACCCUACAUUGUUCUGAAUUUAUUAUAAAUCUCAGAACAUUGUUGUUGUUGUUGUUUGUCUCAGUUCAUCUCUCUCUCUCUUUCUGCACUCCCUCUAUCUCAUCGCUAAAUCAAAUGCAGUGGCGGCAGAUGACUGUCCACCAUGAGUCUGGUUCUGCUUGAUGUUUCUGCCUGUUGAAAGGAAGUUUUUCUUUUUCACAGUAACUUUCUAAAUGCUAUUAAGUGUUACACUCAGCCCUGCGAUGAACUGGCGACUUGUCCAGGGUGUCCCCUGCCUUCACCCUAAGAUGCUGAGAUAGGCUCGAGCCCUCUUACGACCCCCCAACGGGAUAAGUGGUAGAAGAUGGAUGGAUGGAUGGUGAUACACUCAUGUGGAUGAAGAGAAGAAGGUACAAUGGUAAAACGCAGAUUUUUAAGGCAAUAUGGAAGAUUUUUAUAGCCUGGUUCAAAAAGACAUUUCUGUCAAACAACUGUACAUUGUGUUAUAACUAAACCCUGCCUCUAGUUACAUAAUUUUAUCUUUAAAUCUUAGUCUUGAUCAAAAUACCCCCAACUAAAUAAAAAAAUAAGCUCCAUACCAAAAACUAUUCUUGCACCAGGCUGUAAACAUAUUCAAUUCUGCUGGAUAAAUAGGCGUUAAUGUGGCUGUUGAUGGGGUUUCUUUGGGUUUAGCAGCCAAGUCUUUCACACUUUGGCAUCAGCUUUAUUUACAACACUGCAGGUUUCUGGUUUUUCAGAAAGCCUCUCCAGAAACCAACGGGUGAUGCGACUGAGUUUUGUGAUUUACAUAUCAGACGCCGUGCGGUUUUUAUCCGCCAACAGUCGACAGACACUGAUCUAGAUUGACAUAGGCAGACACCAGCUUGGUGCCAUCAGCUGUCAUUCUCAUAUCACAUUCAUCUCCAGCUCUGCAGAUGUAAUGCGUGUCUCUGCUUUUAGGAAGACAAAUGUUUCAGACGGUUAAAAGAAUUGAUAAAACAAGGAGGAGGAUUCACAACUUUGAGCGCUGCUGCGAACAAACGGAUACCCCCUCUGAGCGGCGUGUAAACACGUACAAACCUCUGACUUUAACUCCACAGAUUGUCGUCCAUCCCUCACAGCCUUCCUCUCUUUGAUACAGACUGCUUAAUGAUUCUAAUUAGUGAUGAAAAAUGAACAGUGUCUGGUCUGUCAGGCCUGUAUUUCCCUCUCUGUGAUCCCGAGCUAACUUGUCGAAGGAUUAGAUUACCGUUUCAGUCUCGAGUGUGGGCACUGCUGCUGCUGCUGCUGCCCGGCUCGUCUUUGUGCCUCUCUGGCUUUGAUUUGAGCCAAAAGAGCCACAGGAUACAACUUCCAAGGCAUUAGCAUUCUCAGCAGUCACCCAGAAAAAUGUCAGAUCACGCUAGUUUGAAGUGACAGGGUGCUUAAACUACAGUACACGAGGGUGAGAAACAAGCACCGCAUGCUAACUACAAACACAUUAUGUAAGGAACGACGACGGGCUCUUGGACUUUCAUCUGCUACAGGCUGAGUCUUACCGUAUUUCCCAACAAUAUAGUAUUACGUCUCCCGGCUACAGACAUGCUAAUGCCUCUCUAGCACUGUCAGGCUAUCAUGUGGUUCAGUGCCAAUGGGAAAAUGUGAUGAAUGUCCGAGGGAUUCGUCUCGUGCUAACUCAGGCAAAGCUGAUACGGGUAAACCUCCCGCGCUUAACUCAACCUGGCUGUUUAUCUUCUGCUGUCUUUACAAAAAUGUGUGCAGUAAGAACUUUAAUUUUCAGACAAGACGCCUGAAGUUUUGUUGUGAAAGUCUAAAGAGAAGUUUUUAAAGGCAGCUCUGCCUGAACACAGCAGGAAAGAAGACCGUAACAACUAAAUUACCAAACGCUAUGCAGGAAAUGAGGCUUAACUUCACAUUUUAAUGAAAUGUUUUGAACGUUUAUUAAGUCUAACCAAGAUGUGGGAACUAAUAAGACUGUUUUAUAGCACUACUGCAGGUUUGUUUGGGGCUUUCAUAUAUUUCUAUACUGUAAAACUCAAGUAAUUUACCUGUUUAUAAGUGGGGGUUUAUGUUGCAUUCCAGUUGUACUCAGAAGUUGGAAAUUCUGAGGUCCGAGUCGGAAAUUCAUCUGGAACACCCCCUGAAGUCGGAUAUCUGACUCGGAAAGUCGGACGAUCCUCACCAACCCUGACUUGACGACAACGUUAUAUUACAAGAUGGCGACGCAGUGCAUCAACAGUAAGGAGUAACAGUAAAAGCUCUCGUAAUGUAUUAUUUUUAGCACUUCUGUUUUGUGUUUGCGAACAAAUAGUGCUAUGGUGUUUGUAAGAGUAAGAUACUGUGUUAUGCGUUGUUUACCGCUGGUAUCGCUAACAACAACUGACAACAACUAACAACCGCUAAUGACGGCUAACGGCAGCUGACAAUUGUAAACAACAGCUAACAACGGCUAACAGUACGGUCAUUCCCAGCUCUGACAUCCAACUUCUGAGGUAACUGAAAUGCAGCAAUAGACCUUAAGAGUUUUCUAUGCGUGACUCUCUCUUUAACGAUGAUGCUAAAAUACAAUGAAAGUAAAAUGACAAAGUCCAAAACACUUUGGGAUAACAUUAGGUACUCAGAUGGCGAGCUGGUAGACAUUGAGUGAAUUUUGUGUUUCUGACUGAUGAUGUCAAGAUUCUGUUUUUGAGCACAAAAAACUUGUUGGUUAGCUUACACAAAAUUUGGUUGUGUAAGCUCCCAAACUUUAAAAAUCUGUAAACUUUUAAUCUACUUUUCUUGAAAAGUAAAAUGAAUCACUUGUUUUUAUCUUAGCUGUGAGAAAACACUCAACGAGCUGUGUGAUGUUAAGAAUAAGAAUAAGAACUUUAUUAAUCCCCGAAGGGAAAUUCACUUGGUUAAAAAUCUAUGCCAUGCCAUUUGUUGUUGUUAUUUGUUAUUUUUAAACUAAAUAGAAAUCAUCAUGCAUCUCUUUAACAUUCUUUUUUGUUGUUUUAGGUCAUAAAGAGGCAUCAAGUGCUGAUUUCAGGUUGUUUCAUGACUGUCUAAAAACUCCUUACUGGAGCUUUAAAGCUUGUUUCAUCUAUUUCUUUCAUGUUUUUUCGAGGCAAAAUCAGUUUUAAGUAUAGGUGAGGCAACAUAUAAUCGUUUAUGUAUGGCAGUCCAGGACUAUUCAAUACAAUUAUUGCACUGUUGAUGCCAAAUAAAAAUGUCUAGAUUAAAAUAUAGUAUGUUUCUAUAGUAUGUCACUUCUUCAUGACUUCUCACAGUGGCACCAGUGAUGUUAAUCCUGCACUUUAUAAUUUAGGGGAUAUGUUGUAUUUUGCAGUAGAUCAGAUAUUAUGAUGCAUUAUCAUAUCAACGCCUUGUAGUUCAUCAAUUUACCCAGAAUCAAUUACUGUUAUCAUGGGCUCUGUUUAAUGCAUCGAUAAUCAUAUUAUGUUGUGUUGUGCCAUGUCGUGUCAUGCAUUUCGUAUCUUGUCGUGUCAUGACGUAUUUUGAGUAAUCAAGGUGUGGCAUGUCAUACACUAUUGUCUCCUGUAGUAACGCACUAUACUCUAUGGUGGUCUGGCCUGUCAUGUCAUGUUGUCUGGCAUCAUAAAGUUUCCUAUCGUAUAAUAUCAGAUCGUAUCGCAUCGUAUCAUAAUCCAUUGUAACAUAUUGUAACGUGUCGUAUCAUAGCGAGAUAUUGCAUGGGGUGUCGCACACUAUUGUAUCAUAUCAUACUGUACCAUACUGUGUCCUAUCCCAUCAUGUUGUGUGGUAUUGUAUCUUAUCCGCUUAUUUUAUAUUUGUUUCCCAUUGAAUCAUAUUGUAUUGUGUUGUGUCGUAUCAUGACUUGGCAUGUCGCACUCUAUGGUAUCAUACUGUCAUAUUGUACCCUAUGGUGCCCUGUCAUGUCAUGUCAUGUUGGGUGUUAUUGUAUCGUACCAAUAGUUACCCUGUAAGUGCCACCCGAUCAUGCGAGGCCACCAGCUGUAAUUUCACAAAACUUUAGAGGACUUUUCAGCCUGGUUCCAUCUGUAAGACGCCUUUCAUGCAGACUUUGCAUGUUCUUAAUCCCGCUGAUAGACAAAACAAAAGGGUUUUCCAUAAAUCUGUAUGGAACUUAUUCUCUUUGCCUUCUUCGCCACCAAAUUAAGUCCUAUUGGAACGACGGGUAUCUGAUUUCUCUUCUUACUCGUGACCGCUCUUUCCACAAAGUUUCAUGACAUUUUGAAACAUCCUGUUUACAGGCUGAGUGGGCUGAAAACAGAGCCCCUGACUGACUCCAAAUGGGGAGAGUAAUUUGGCAUAAUUGCAGCGUGGGUGAAACCUUUGAAGACCCAGUUUGUGUUGUGACUGAAACAAUGAUGAUUAGAGCUCGCUCAAGUGUCAAUUGCGAUUAAGAGAAAGACCUCUUAGAAAAAGCAGAUCUCUCAAUCAUGCAAGACUUAUUAUCCCCUAUAUUUGUUCUGAAAGUUCCCAAUUUUUUUACUUCUAUAAGGUACAAGACAGACAGAGUUGUGUUCACUCGCUAAUACAACUAUUUAGGCUUCAAUUUGCACAUUAUAAAGAACAACUAGGAUUGUGAUCAGCUACACAAAUGAGUCUAAAGUCUAUAUUUACACCGUAGCUGCAGGGUAAACCAGUUUCAGUGAGAAACAAUAUACAGUGUGCGCUCACUUGAGGCUAAAAAGGCUACCGCUAACACCACAUGAUAUAGAUUACCUUUAGGGAGACCUGGGCGCCCAUUAACACGGCUGUUUGAUCUCAAUGGCACAAAUUGAUCCAAGGUGAAGAAAAUGUUGCGUAAUUAUGAUUGAUGAUGACAAGAAGGGGAAAUGAUUCGUGCCUUUACAUUCUCAGGGAGAAAGUAGUUCCUUCCAAACUUCACGGUCGGAAGCUGUUGUUCAGGAAGCAGUAAUGAAGUGUGGAGGUUCAGCUGAUGAGGGGUUAAAGAUCUGCUGUGUGUUAGGCCACAAAGAGGCAACUAUUAAUGGGAGUAGAUUGUGGUUAUCGUGGUCCGAACUUUCUAGUUUGCGCCGUGCAUUUUACGAUAUAUUACUGUCACUCUGGUCUAAACUUUCAAUAACAUUACAAGCUGCAAUCAAACCAAUACUGAACUUCAGAUCUACAUUCUAAUAAGUCAAACUCAUAAAUAUCUAAUAACAAAAAUAUUAAUUGCAGAUUCGAACAAAAUUUUAUAAAGUUGAUAUUCAAGCACAUUUACCAACUUAGCGGCAAUUUUUUACCAAACAACAGAAAUGCUGUAAAAUAUUAAAUUAAUCACAACCUGUUUGGUCAUCAGAUAAUCAUUAAGAAAAAUUUCAGAGGAAUUAGACUCAAAAUUAUCUUAUUCCAGUCUGUUUCACUAUGUUCUUGGACCAUUUUUCCCUUCAUUACAAAAGUGAUAGCUGUCAAAGUUGGCUUUUUGGCGCCCCCUAUGGACCAAGCAGUACUUUAUAUUUCUUCACUGAUCUUGUCUUAUACAUGUGCAACUUGUGUUUGCUAACAGAGCUGUGAAUGCUUGUGUUUUAGAUACAAGUCAGAAAGUUGUUUAGCCAUUAGCUCCUGUUGUUGCUAGCAUUGUACGCUAAAUCCAGACGAUAGCAACAUACUUGAUGACAUAAGAAUAUAUACAGAUAAAACUUGCAUAAUACUAUUGGCAUGAUUAAUUUUAUUACACAAACAUCCAAAAAUUAAAUUUUAAACACCGACACUGUAUAUUACUCAGGUUUAGCUGUGGGAUAAAGAUAGAACCAACAUUGUUUACAAGGAUUAAAGUACUAUAUAGACAUAAUCAGUCCUCUUCCCAAUGUUUGUUUUUGAGUCUUAUGCUCAUAAAUCGGUGUCAAUGUUAUUUCAAGUGUGUUUUAUAACUGGCAAAAUUUCCUUACAGGAGCUUUAAGUUAACAUUAACAUGCUAACAAGUACAAAGUUUAGCAUGUUUGCAUGCUGGUAGCUAUUUUCCUCAAAGUCUUAUGGUCCUUACACAAACGCCAAUAUUUUUUCUCGAACCCGUAUCCUGUCAAUACAAGUGUUCACAUCAGCGAUGUUUUCCCGUCCUGCGAUAUUGCGGCAUUUGUUUUUUCGUAUCACGGUCGAAUUUUCUAAAGUUUUGCAUACUGUGUGUCCACUUCUGACCAAUCAGAUUUCGUGUUGUUGCGACAUCCGAUCCACCGGUAUAUCCAACAUGGCUGACCAACUGAUUGUUUACGUGUCGGAGAACAGAGUGCUUUUUGAUAAAAAACACAAAUAUUACAAAGAUAAAGACCUGAAGGACAACUUGUGGAGAGUCACAGCAUUGGAUUUCUCAUAUGACGAUGGUUUGUUUGCUUUAACAGUUUGCUAAACGUCUUUGUUUUAACUUUCAUCUGUGCUAAGUAACUUUAGCUUGUAAGCUAACCUGUUCAGAUACAACAUACCAUAUGUAUUUUCACUGUCUCAAACUCAAUCACAGCGUUGCUGUCACAGCACCAUUAGGUCUUGGUUGUUACCUUACGUUUAUGGAUUAUAAUUUAAUGUGCUUAUCUGGUACUGGCCCCGACUCAGUACAUGCUAUCAUCAUUCCUGGUGUGUAAGGACCUUUAAUGUGGUCAAGACAAUUUGUAUUUCAUUUUGCAUAUGUUCAGUUCUUGUACAAUCAAUUACAUAUUACCAUGGGGACAAAAAUGACAAGUUCUUAGUGGGGUUAUUGGACUUGUAGAAUCAAUAAUCUGAUCUCAGUGCUGUGAAAAUCAGUUUAACAUGUUUAAAGAGUGAUAAAUUCAACAGUUCUUGAGAUGCUCUCUAUUUUGGAAAAUUCCCAGGGCUGUUAGUAAGGCUUGAAAAUAAGUCUGCGUUAGCCAACUUAAAGGCUACACUUACUCUAAUUCCUUUAAGUGUCUCACACGUUUCUGUACAGCAACAUCAGCAUCACACUGACAGUAUAUGUGUGAUAAAUCUGGGCGACGCUCCGGACACCAAUGACAAUUUAAGCUUCAUGAAUGAACUGGAUUCACUGUUUGUGUAGGCAAUUGGCGAUAUGGAGCACACUGAAGCGCACACAUCGUACACGCGUUAGGAUAUUCAGGCUGGAGGCCAAACAUUAGUGUGAAGAAGAGCAUAUUUCAUGAAGCAUCCUGCCUGUUCAUAAAUACAUUUAAGUCCACACACAGUCGCUCCAGUUGCUGUGUAAGCUACUAACCUCUUCCUUGUUACAUCAAGACAAACAAGUCUAUUUAUGUUAUAGUGUCAGUUUUUUUUCUGUUUCCUGCUACCUGACUGUCUCGGGAGGGAAAUAAUGUCAGCAGCCUGACUCUGUGACAUAUUUACAAAUGAAAAAACAUGUUAGAGAGAAAGAAAAAUCCACGAUUGCUUUUCAUUCUUCCCCACAGAGACCCGGGCCGUCAACAUUUCGCUCCGACAGCCUCAAUUGAGCAGGAAAGAUUUUUAUGAUGGCGGGGCAUCUGUGACUCAGUGUCUAGAAUAACUCGCUAAAUAAAGAAUAAAAGCAAUCUGCUCUCGUUUCACUCAGUGCACCUUCCCCGUCCCUGUUGCCAGGGGGAUGACCGAACGCAUUUCAUAUGCAGCCGCCGCGCUUCACUGCCUCCUGAGCACAGGAACAGAAUCGUGUUCCACUUUAAAGAUGUUAAUUUUACAUUUUUAAUGACCGGGGCUGAUGGCUUAAGUAAGUGAGUAGCACUUACGAGGGAAAGAUGUUCUGGAAAUCCUCCCCCACACAUCUCAGAAUUCCUCGUCCUGGAUGAAAUUAUCUGUCCUGUUGAAUCGAGGACUAGGGACGUGGUUUUAUUUACAGAGUAUGACUUCAAAAAUGUGCCUUUUUUUUCUGACUCACUCUCCUCUUUUUUUAUGCAAUUGUUUCACUCUCUGCACAUCACGUGUAAGCUUUCCUGCAGUGGAAUCCAGUCAAGGAGAUUCCUCAAUUUCAUGGCUGAUUAGCCUGAUGCCAGGAUUAUCUCUUGUUAUUUUAAGGCAGAUAAUACAAGAUUAUGACCUUAAUGGGAUCUGUGAAAUCAGCUGGAAAACACUGGGGGCCUUUCUCAAAGAAAUAUCUGCAAAAUAGAGUUCAUGCUAGUCAAAGAACGAAGUGGUGAGGUGAAGUAUUUGACCAAGAGUCAGUAUCUGAAGGGACUAUUUGACACUGAAAGACUCGAUGUGCCGCAGGAGCUCGGUGAGAAAAAAAAAAUACACCGCUUUUGAGUCAAACUCAUCUGCUUUUUUUUUUAACACCUUCAUAUUUUUCCUGCACAUAAACCCUCCUGAGGGCGAGCUAGCUUUCCCAGAGUGAGGACGAGAGGUUUCAGAUCGGAGCUAAGUGGUUUGUAGCAUAAACUGGGCUGCUUUUUUAAGGUAAUUAGCUUGUGCUCAAUGCUGUCAUAUCCAGAAGUGCAACUGCUUUUGAAAAAACAGGGCAAGAAAACAAGCGGCCGGGCCUCCCCAGGGUCAGCGCCCACCGCAGCCUGGAUUAUGGCACCAAAGGAAUCCUGGGAAGCGUGUAUUGAUUUGGCCUGACACUUGCUGCCACAUUUAGCUUAGCCGCCGCUGACUCGCAAAGGCUUCAAGCAGUUAUCUGCCAUAUUCUCUACUAUCUUUAAAGAGCACUGAGAAAUUACCUCAUGCCAUAGAAGAUUUAUCAUCACAUAAUUAGCUCGGUGCAGCUAGCGGCAGAUCUCUUUUGACUACUAAUACAAGCUUAAAGUUCAUGUGCACAGGACUAUGCUUAAUUAACUUGUUAGCAUGAGCAUGCUGGGACGACAUGCUGGCCUCCACAAACUGCAUUUGUUUUACAGAUUGUCUGGGUGCUGUGCAGCACGGUGAUGUCUGAAAUCUGCUGCAUGUUACAGCGAACACCGAGACAUCAGGGUGGAAAAAUAAGAGAGUGAACUUCCUCUAACCUUGAUGCUACAACACAGUCUAAUAAAGCUGCUAGGAGCACCUGGCAUGAUGGCGGGCAGGACAAACAAUUAAAAAACAGACAAAGGAACCCCUGAAAGAUAGUUUUCAUGUGCAAACAGGAUCAUACGCAACUGCUUCACGAGCCAACUUAAAAAAUAUCUCAUGAGCACAACAUGCAAACUUGUAUGUUUGGGGCUUCCCGAUUCCUCAUCAUUUCCUCUCUUUGUCAUCACAAACCCGGUCUGCAUGAAAACCGGUCCUUCAAAAUGUAUUUGUGUUUGCGCACAAGUUGUGCGUCAUGUAAAUUCCACGAGACAGAGUUGUUGAUUGAAGCUCAGGCCUCGUCCACACAUCAGCGGAAACACGGUUUGAAAACACAGAAUCUUCUCUUCGUUCUGGGCCCGAGUCCACACGGAAAGGGAGUUUUGGAAAAUGCUUCCCGUGGAGAUUUUUAAAAACUCGGUCUAAUCUAUAUUCAUGGGGACAGCUGGAACGAAGGAAUACGGAAACUAUGAUGUCUUAACUUGUGAUCGUUUGUUAUGUGUUGCGCAUGUGCCAAGAUGGCCGCUAUUGGUUCACUUCAUCAUUAUAUCAUAUUACAGGGUAAAUAAAUACUGUAUAAUAAUCACUAGUGUUCAGUUCACCAGUGUGUACACUGUUUAUAAUAGCGAUUUGCUCAUUUAGACACCCAAAAACAAGCUUCUGUGGUGGUUGUUUUGAUGGACUAAUUACACAUUAUCGCCCCCUGCUGGUCUGGCAUACUAGUAUGUUCAUUUUCAACCUUUUAAGCUACUACUGUACUACUUGUAUAGGCAAUUUUUGUUCCUUAACAUUAGAGGAAAUACAUAUAGUUUUAAAUCUUAAAUUAGUAGUCGACUAAUUAAAAUAUAAAAUCCACCUUAAGUCUUUAGAGUUUUUGCUUUUUCUUUCAUGUUUGAUCAGCCAUGGCUUUCAAGAAGGGCCAGUAUUGAUGGUAAUCAUCUAUUAAAUUACCAAUUUUUAUAUUUUGCAGGGUAAUACCAUAACGUGAAAGCUAUUUGUGAGAUGAUUUAGUACUUUAAAAAACUAAAAUUUCAUGAUUGUUUCUGCAAAUCUAAAUGCAGUCCUGGUUUCAAGACUUGUCUGAUUUUGUUAGUCAACAUAACAGGAUCCAAAUCAAUGCUAAUCCACUCUACUUGUAACCUAAUUGUAUGCCUGUUAACCAAUAUGAACAGUCUCGACAUCUACUUACGGGUUUUCUUGGUUUCCAUGGUCUUCCUCACAGUUUGUAACCUCUUUCGAUGAACCGCACUCUUGGUCUGACUCCCAGAGAGGAAAACUGGCCUCCACUUGUGACAAAAUUGGUCUUUUUAGGUCCUUUUUUCAUGCAAACUGACCAGACCGUACCUGCAAAGUAAAGUAAUGAGAUUAGGUUCAAAGGGAGCUCAAGUUUAGACUCCUUGAAAAGCUAAUGUCUCAAAAACCAGAGGAAUCCAAUACAAUCACUAUACUAUACAAGCUAACAUUACUAGCAUGUAGCAUACAAGUUAGAUUGGACCAUACAGCUAAAGUAUUUAAUGCCAUCAUAAACUAUUCAUUUUGAUUGAUUUACCUAUUGAACGUGUUUUGACUUGCAUAAAGAUGCCACAAACACAGGAUUUAUAGCUUAAGUUAAUAUGUUGCACCUGUAUAUGGGCCUCAAACACAUAGAAAAAACAACAAUAGAAAAAACAAGUGACAGAGUAAUCACGUGAAUUACAGGAAGAAAAUACUCCUCCACCACUGAGCUCUAUCUGUUGACAUUUUUAAGGUUAUGUGUUGCACUAGCAGCCGUUUUUAAGCCCCACACUCUGUAACAUUGUAUUCUUUAAUGUUCAGUGAAAUUUAACACGGUGUCAUGAGCAAAUUUGACUCCUCACAUGGCCGGUGUUCACAUUUCUACUCAGCUGUAAACAUCUCAUCAGCCUGUGUUGUGGCUCUGUGUGAUUCUGGGCAAACACUCUGAGCAAAGAGCAACUUUUCGCAAAUAUUCAGCUGGAAUCUCGAACACUUUACCCUUUGGAACGCCCAUUGGCUUUAAGUGGCCAAAUGCCAUCUUAUUUUAUUCAUGUCCUGCACCCUCCAGUCUGGCACUCUCUCCAAGCUAAAGCCUCACCCUCCCUCUCUCUUUCCUCUCUACAGCUGUCAGCCAGAUCUCAUUUCUCUUUUUUCAUCGCAGCGUUUUCCAUUUAAUUUAAUUCUCUGGGUAACAGUUGUAACAUCAUACGGCAUCCUCCUCUUCUUCUUCUGCAUCUCUGUCAGAUACAAAUGCAGUUGUGGGACCAAGCUGGAUGAAAUGGGCAAAGACAGCUUCACAACCGCCAGGGGUGUUAUUCUAAGAUCAGGCUGGAAUCAGAAGUUUUGUCGGUUUCAGUUAACCAGGGCGCUGCUAAAUGGCUUAAGCCAAGCAUCACUGCACUCGGCGAGGGCUCCCAGAUAUUGCAGCAUGACAGCUAAAGUAGCUGGGUGCAUCAUGGACAUGUACCCAGCCUAAAGAGCCCUCGGGCUUUCUCUUCUCCAUGACUGACUUUUAAGUGUUUUAUCCCUGGGACACGGCGAUAAUGUGCAUUAAGAUCAAGAACACUUAUUUCAAUUGUGCUUUAUGUUUUAUUCUGGCUUUAAAGUCGGCAGCGUCUAGACUAGGCUUUGCUGAGAAUAGCUCACAAGGGAGGAUCCCCUGCUGUUACUUUAAGUAUGCUAACAUUAGGUUUCACUCUUUAAUUUGCCAAGAAGGAAUUAGUGCUAAUGGUUAAAAAGACACGGCGACAGGGGUAUAACUCCUCACACCAGUGUUUGUUUAAAAGCAGAAAUGCACAAGUACAGGAUAACAUAUUUACUGGAUAGACGCUGUAAUUCAAAAGUGAAAUAGAGAGCAUUUACAGAGAAACGUAUUGGCUCAAUAAACUCUUCAAAGCAGGGGUGUGUCCAGAGAGGUAGUCAGGGGUGCCACAGUCCCCUGAGCUAAUUGGCCACCCAAGGUGCCAGCUUGAAGCUUUAUUCAUAUCUAAAUGCUGCCAUUUAAGUGGCGAACUCAUUUCAGUGCUAAAAUCAACACAAUCAAAAAGUUCUGCACAGGAGCUUUAAUUUAUCAGUAUUCCGAAAUUUAAAGGGAUAUUCUGGUGUAAAAUUAAGUUAGGGUCAAACACAUUAUAACACCGAGUUAGACACCUUGUUGAGAGAUGAAUGUUGCCGACCGCUUGCUUCUCUAGUUAUACCAACUUUAGUAACGACCACAGAUAGUAAUACACGGCGGUCUGAGGUGCCAAAAACAAACCUCAACCAAAACGCCACUCUAUAGCCACAAAUAAUGUUCAGAACAGCACCUAACUUCAUCAACAGUACAUAUGGGGUCCUAGCGAUAGCACUAGCCACCAAACAUCUUUUUAGCUUUGCCUGAUCUCUUUAGCAAAGAGACUAAACACAACUCACCCACUCUCUUCCAGCAGCCGCUUGAGACCUCAGGCGAGUCCAUCGACUGCAGCGGGGGGAUGCAGCUCAAGGAAGAACAUUUAUGAUCAUUACUUUAUCAUUUCCUUGAAGUAAUAAUCACCAUAUUAAUCAUUUUACACUGCAGACGUGGUAGUUCUUUUGCCUCAGCAUCUCAGUCUGAUUGCAUUUCUAUGAGGCAAAGAUCAUAUAUGUUCUUCCUUGAGCUGCGUCCCCCCGCUGUAGUCUGUAAUGGACUGGCUUGAGGUCUCCGUACAAACAAGCAGCUGCUUGAAGAGAGUAGGUGAGUUGUGUUUAGUCUCUUUGUUAAAGAAAUUAAGUAAAGCUAAAAAGAUGUUUGGUGGCUAGUGCUGUGGCUGUGACCCUAUAUGUACUGUGAUGAAGUUAGGUGCUGUUCUGAGUAUUAUUUGUGGCUAUAGAGUGGCAUUUUGGUUGAGCACGUGGCUCUCUGUAUUGCUGUCUUCGGUCAUUACUAAAGUUGGUAUAACUAGAGAAGCAAGCGGUCUGCAACAGUCAUCUCUAAAUGGGGUGUCUAACUCGGUGAUACAGUGUGUUUGGCCCUAACUUAAUUUUACACCGGAAUAUCCCUUUAACAUCUGUGUGAUUAUACAACAUUAUUUGUUAUUCAUUCAUUAUCUUCAUCACAGGGGGUGGAGCCUAUAGCAGCUGUUAAUCGGUGAGAGGUGGUGGUUGGGCACACCCUAAACAAGUUGCCAGCCUAUUACAAGGCCUACAUGUUAUUUAGAGUAACCAAUGAGCUUGAUAAGCAUGGGGACAUUAGUGAGGAUAUAAGUUUUAAAAAUAAUAUUGAGUAAUUAAUUGGUCCAUGUGCCACCCCUGCAUUAGUCCAAACCAGUCAGAAAGUCUUUGCAUGCCCCUGCUUCAAAAACACCAAACCAUUUAUUCUCAGUAGGUCCCUGUUGGACCUAAAAUUCACUCAAUAAGGUUUGCACAAAUCAAAUUUAUUUAUUUCCUAGAGAAAGACUAAAUAAUUUCCUGAAACAGAUGCACACUCCAGAUGACUCAACAGAAUUAAAUAGUGAGUGUAUUGUUCCGCACUAUUUUCAGAAGUGGAUUUGUGCUCUGCUGGGUAUUUACAGCUGCAGGACAGUGGAUGUGAGUCAACUCAAAACAGUCGCUUUAUUAAUUUUAAUGGACAAACCAGGCAUUCAGGAGUAAUGUAGAUUUAUGAUUUCUUUUAAAUAUUUUGUAUAACAACGGAGCACAAUAGUACAGAGAACAUAUCUGUGUUAUGGCCAUUACACAAACAGCACUUGUUAAAGGAUCAGUCACUCUUGGUUUUGUAAAGAUGACAAGAAAUGUGCUUUUUAAGUUAUCUUAUCAAAUGUAAGUAUCAGUUUCACAACAAAGAUGUGGCAUGAGCCCCAACUGAAAUCUGAUUUGUCAGCCCAGGUGCCACCCCAAAUUUUAAUCUAUGAUUGGCUGUUGUCACACGAUAAACAAGCUUAUAUUAAAUUCAGAUACUGGACUGCAUAGCAACACACUGCGCAUCCAUUGCAAUAAAAUAGAAUAACUUAUUGGUACAUUUUUGACUUUGGACAUACCUCCUCUGUUUUAGACCCUAAAAAAUUACAAUUAUGAUUUAUAUGUUGUGCCAUUGUUGUAUUAUUUAAUUGGAAAAAGCUUGAUUACACAAAGGCAUAAUUUAAUAGUAGUAGUUACAGUUCAUUUUAUGGGACAGAAGUCUGGAAAUGUCCCUGCUACUUGAGAUAUUCUGAGGCGGUCAAUGUCCAAGUCACUUUGAUGAAAAUUUGAAUUUAAAGUGGUGGUAAGAAAACGCAAAAAAAAAUAAAAGAAAGACAGAAAAAGUCAAGAAAAAGAAUAAAAAGUUAAAACUGAGCAGAAUCGAUUGAACAGCUAAAAUGGGAUCUGUAUGGGCACUGUUGGCCUACUAGUCUUGGUCUUAUAUCUUCAGAGCCUGUCGCAGCAGUCCCUGGUUUCCUUUACUCUCACUAACUUUUGUUUUUUCUUUAGUUUUUAGUUUCUUUUGCCAGGAAAUGAUGUGACUCGUCUUUGUAAACAUCACCAGUCAAACAGUGACUAUAGGCAUUCCAUUGCAUUGCAGGACUUUGAGUGUAUAAGCUGCUAAUUUCAAGACCAAAACUUUUAUAAACUGUCAUUGUUUUAACACUUUGUCAAUGUGAGGAACUCUCAUAAGAAAGUCUGAGUGAAGACACACAAUAUGGCAGCAGAGUAAAAAAAACACCCAACAAUGUGCCAAAACACUCCUCCAAUCUGACACAGUAGAUUUAUCUCCAGGUAGAAGAAAACACUCAUUAAUAUUUAUAAACUGGAAAAGCUUCAGCUACUGUCAGUACCUGAACACACCCUCACCAAAGGAGAACAAAGUUUGAUGCUUUACAUCAAACCAGAUUUCUGCUGAGUCACUCUGCCACUCAAACAGGCCCAGUGUGCUAGCUAACAGGCUAACAAGUACAACCAAAACACAGCAGCUAAAAGAAACAUAACCAAGCUGUUAAAAAGACAAAGAAGAGACAAAACAUCUUACCCAUGUUGUUAGAGGACAGACAAAACAAUCCCUGAAAAGACUCCACAUUGAAAUGCACACCAUUUGAAAUUUCCCACAAAACGGUUUGACUUCCUGUAAAGUGUGGCCAAACAGGAAAUGCCAACCAAACAAGUAACCAAAAUAAAGUUUCACAGCGGCCAUUUUUUUUUCAUAACACAAAACGGGUAAAAAUACUUUUUUUACAGCGAAAUAUUGAUGUUUACCCAAAAAUUUUUCCAAAUAGAAACCUAAGCUGUUAAAAAGACAAAGAAGAGACAAAACAUCUUACCCAUGUUGUUGGAGGACAGACAAAACAAUCCCUGAAAAGACCCCACAUUGAAAUGCACACCAUCUUGAAAUUUCCCAGAAAGCUGUUUGACUUCCUGUAUGGUGUAGCCAAACAGGAAGUGCCAACCAAACAAGUAACCAAAAUAAAGUUUCACAGCUGCCAUUUUUUUUAUAUAACAUAAAACAGAGGAUAUACUUUUAUUUACAGUUAAAUAUCAAUGUAUACUCUGAAAUUGUUUGAAAAAGAAAACAAAUUAGGAUUGUAAUUUGUCUUUUUAUGGUAAAAUGUACACCCUUUAUUGCCUUUUGUAUCAUAUUUGAUAAGUACUUUUAUAUACUAUAAAAAAAAUGUGAAUUUUUGUGAAUAAUUUGUGGUUUCAGGCAUUAAAGAGCUACUAUGGUCACCCUAUGCAGACAUAUAUCUAUAUCUUAAAAUCUUUUGGUUUUUUUAUAGUAAAAUUUACAACAUUUUGAGCUUCAUUAACUACGUUAUUAACUACAGAAGCCCUGAAUGGACAUGUUUCCAUUUUUUCUUCAUAAUAAGAAACUUACUUUUUCCCCCCUCUUGUACCACUGUAACCUGUGCUUUAAGUGUUAAAAAUCGGUGCAGUUACCCCCAUUAUUCACUCACGGAUGUAUUUAUCAUAUAUCAGUAUUUGUAUAUUGGGGUUUAAUUAACACACAAACAAAUAAGAACAAAUAAGGUGCUCACCAGCAUCAGUAUUUACACUCAAACUUUAUUUUAUCAGUCAGAACUUUGCCCAAAAUGUAGAACUGUUCACAGCUACAUUCUUUACAGCAUGUCUGAGCUCAGGCAUGAAAAGUUCCUACAGACAGGCAAAUUAUCACAUUUUUCUUCAUCUGCAUUUUUCUUCUGUUGUCCGGCAUUAGUCACUCUAAUGUUUCAGUACCUGUCAGAGUGAAUCUUUACAACACAAACUAAGUCUGUUUCUAUUCACGUCAGGGGAAUUCAAUAAGACAAGGUGGUGAAUUUAGAUCCAGCAAUAAAUCACCAUAUGGGCUUGGAUCAACCACAUCUAAUACAUCAUCCUAUCUCGCCUGAAUACGAACCAUUUGUGUGGAGUUUAACUGGAGACAUGCUGUAGGAGAUCGGUUUAGUUCUGUGGAUGCAGCAAGAACAAGGAUCGCUGUAACUGAUAGCUCUAUUUUAAAGACAAAGAGUGAGUGAAAACCAAAGAAUGAGGUGUGUUCCUAACUCUUUUUUUAAGUAAAAGUAGUUGCAAAGGAUGCAUGUUUACAGUAUCUGUAAAGACAUUAAAACCACUGUAUGAGUUAAAACUCAAACUACAAAAGUAGCAUGCUGCUGCUAACAAACAAGCUAGCAAAUGCAAAUUCCCAAAAAGCUUUCUUUAUUUAUUUUGGUGACAUUUGUUGAAAAUAAUCACAAACUAGCAUCUUUCAUCUAAAAUGAGCAUGAAUGUGUUAACUAUGUAGGAUUAACUUCUUUCGCCAUGCUAGCUAAAUUGUUUUAUUGCUAGCUUAAUGGCUAAUUAGACCAUUUAAGUAUUCAACUCUAUUUAAAUGGAAGAUGUAUUGCCAGGAAACUUGUGAUGGACUCUUUUUGACCUCAGAGGGUGGACUCUUGAGAUUUGCAACAAAAGGAUCAAAGAGGGCACCAGGGAGGGCAGUAACCCCGCUUGCCCCCCUUUGAAUACACCACUGUUGACGUUAACUCUUGGCUGUGUCCAUAAUUGAUCCCUUACCCCUAUAUAGGCGACUAUAUGGGGGUUAGCGCCAUUUUGAGGGGUGUCCGAAACCUGAAUGAUCAAUUCCAGUGCCCCAUAUAGGCGACUCAAAUUUCCCAUAGAGCAUUGCAAAAUGUAGUGACCAUUGGAUGGUCACUCAACGGUGGUGGGCAUCCCAUCAUGCAUUCCAUCUUGCCAUGUACAUUGCCAUGUAGUGUCCGAAACCUCUGGUGAUUGAGCUUACUACAUAGUCAGCUAUAUAGUGAAACCCCAUAUGGGGGCAGGGGUUAGGGAUUGAGUGAUUCAUUUUGGACACAGCCUUGUUGUUUAAAUUGGGUUUUUUUUUGGCACAAAUAUAAUCCUUUCAGAGUGAGUUUAAGCGAAUUCAAUGAUUCCUUGACUUUUUAUCUUGCACUGUUGCUAUGCCAGCAUAGCAUAGCCGUUAGCAUAAAUUAGCAAGCUAGCUGUUUAGAGGAUUUUUUUUCGCUUGUAUUCCAGUGGGCUAAGGCCCUCAGUUUGACAAAGUCCAUAACAACAUGUCUCCCCUUUGAUCUCUCUGCAUUGGCGAGUAUUGGAGCGUUUCAGCAAUACAUGAAAACAAAUGAACACAAUCAAACUGAAGAAGUACAUGACAACAAACAUGAUUCUUCCUCUGAUCCUGCAGGUCAAAUUAAAGCCUUGUGUGGCCUUGUUGUACAGUGACCUCUGACCGUCACGCUGAAGAAGAAACCCCAAAUACAGCAACAGAAACACGCAACAAAGAAAUCCUUCAAUCCCCAACGUACCUCCCAGGUUCAUAAACACGGCUAGUCAAUCAGCCCGGACGCUAACUCUUAUUUUCAAAAGGAAGUGACUUUCACAAACGAGCAGCUGUAUUUUCCAUUGUUACAUUCUGUUGUGGUUAGAGAUCCCCACACUAUUAAAGUGGAAUCACCUUAACCCAGUUGGACCAGCUUUUGUCACAGCUCAGGGCUUUUCUACAAGAACGAUUGGUGGGGUUUUGUAUACACUCAUGCUCGACUGCCCGCAUUAUCUUUGCUUCACGUGUUCCCCCCUCGAGUUUGUUCAGGGUCUGUAACAAAGAAAGUAGCUUAUUAUCACCCACCGGAGGAGUUGUCUGCACAUGUACGUUCUGGUAAUUGCCGCCGCUUAACAAGCAGACUGAAUUGGACUUGACAUUGAGCCAUUAUUAGGAAAUGAAAUGCUGUUUUUGCAAUUAUGGGAGUUUGGCAGGGCCCAGUGAGUAUCUCCCGGAAGAGUCAUGAAAUGGAAAUAUCCCCAAAGACAACUGCAGCUUGAGAUGUUUGAAGUGUGCAACAGGAUUUCUGUUGAACUGUUUGAAUAAAUGAUGAUUUUGCGCUAUUUUUCUCAUUUAGGUUUCUUGGUUGUCAAAGCAGACUCCUCUCUGCCUCUUUGUUGCUACAUGUUAAUUUGUUGAAUGCUCAGAAUCACAUCCUACUAGAUAGACAUGCCAAAUAUUCAUGACAUGGUAUCCGAAAAAGUUCUACAAAUGCACCUUGUGGAUUUCCAAAACCAAAAAAAUAGAUAAAUAUUUGAGAACCACAUUCUGAAAAUGGACAAGCAAGCGGAAAAUACCAUCACAUUGACAGCAAAGCAUUAGGGCCUGUGUCCACUAACAGCAUCUAUUAUUAUCUAUGUUUAUUUUAUUUAUUUGAGUUUAGUUUUUCAGUGGUGGUACCUACUUCCUGUUAAAAAAAAACAAUCUGGUUUAAGGUUCAACAUUUCUAGUGCAAAAGUGUCAUGAGUGGACACAGGCCCUGAUGCAGACAGCACAGAUUAAGUUAUGUUCAAAAGCAUGCAAUGAAAAAAACAUGUCAAACAAGCAAUCAAAAAGCAUGAAUUUAAGAAAAAAGGAAGUAUACAAAACAAUGUAGAAGUGUCACAAGAAAACUUUUAUAACCUGGUGACAGAAGGCACUGACGGGAAGUGCUCUGGUAGAUGCUGUCAGUGGAAACAGGCCCUAAAAGUCCUUUCUUGUCCUCAAGGGAAUGUUUUUAAUUAGUGGGAAAAGAAAGAUCCCUAAACUGGCGCUUGUAGUUGCUCAAGUGUUUUGACCUAAAACAGCAGAAAACAAGAUGGUAUGCUUAAAACUGCUACUCAAGAUUAUGCAAGAUACUUGUGUGUGAAUUUUCUUCUUUAUUCCUCUUUUGCCCGCAAUGAUUUGGUUUGCGUUUGCAUCUAUGAAUCUUGCUCGAUUUUAUUCCUUUUGUAUUUUUCUCACAGAAAAUUGACUUUUUAACCUUUUCCUUUAUUUCUAUAGAAUAUAUGAAUUGCUUGCUUCUUUAAAUCAUGAUCCAGUAUAUCUCUCUGUCUCAAAAUGCAAAUCUUAGUUUGGUGAAAAAAAGAAAAUCUGAAAUUGUGAAAAAUAGAAAUCCAUGACAGCUAUAUGCAUUUAGCUCAAAAACUAAAACAAGAAAAUACAAAAAACCCAAAAAGCCUACAGGAAUAUGCUGACCAGAGCAUUCAUAAAUAGUCAUGGUUACAAACUGAUCCUGAAGCGCGACAUUAAAGCUCCUCUGAGAAUGAGGAGCAGCUUCACUGAGCUGAAAUGAGGCGUUUCUUACCUCCUCUCCAGCAGCAUGAUGCUAACACAACAUGGCAGCUCGGGGCAGCUCUAUGAGACUUUCUCAGCCUCACCGAGUAAUUGGUGACCCGGCACCCCACCUGACAUGGGCGAUUCGAGGAACCGGUCCCAGAAAAGCAAACAGGGUCAAUCCUACGUGGGAGUGUCGUAUGUUCACAUUUAAAGAGCAUGUGACAAAGAAAAGCAGUCAGACCCUCAGACGUAUGGAGACAGUGGUUGGUUUGGCUUAGACUUCAGACCCUUUAUACUGCUGAGAGAUAGCGGAGGAUUACUGUCAGAUUACACAUUUUUAAAGCAGGUUAACAUGCUCAGAAACAGGGCAACUUUUGUCUGAUUGAUGUAUUUAUUUUAUCUACAUAUUUAAAUGAAUAUUUAUCCCCAAAACUCUUUGGAUGUUGCAGAAAAGCCACCAGUAAUGGCAGAGAGUUACCAGUACAAAGACUUUUAUCUACUCACAAUGAGCGUUAAGAGAUAGUACAACAAAAGGGUUUAAGUAAAUUUGUAAUAAAUUACACAAUAGACAGUCAAAAGUCUUUAGGAUGACAUUUGUUUAACUACCUAAGCACAUAAAGGAUAAAAAAAUAAAGACUGCUUUGUCCACAGGGGGCGCCAAAACUGACUUAGACCAAAAGUUCCUCACGGGAGCUUUAAGUCUAAAAAAUUUACAAGAAUGGAGUUGUAACCACAUAAGAGAAAACCGUAGUUCUAUGAGGAAGAACAUAGGUUGAAGUGACACAUUGGAGGAUGUCAGGAGGGCAGCCAUGCUUGCUCAAAAAAUUAGGAUCAUCUUGUGAAGUUACACUCAAAAGCUGAAGACAAACUAGUUGCAAAACUAAGUAAGUAAACAAGUAAAAUCAAAAUUACAUUUACAAAAACUAGUAAAUCAAACUGAGAAAAACAACUUUAGAGCUAGACGGAUUAGUUUUGAGGAGCUUCUCGGAGCAGGAUACAGGUUCAGAGGAUCUAAAGGACUGCGGGAGCUGACUCCAGAGGAAGGGGGUUAGUAUACAGCAACUGCACUGUCACCUUCUGUGUUGCACUUUAAGCAGAGGACAGAAAGAAGGCCAAGGUUAAAUGAUCGGCGUGGAACAAGGUGGUCAAGACUGUGCGUGUGUGUGUGAUGAACAGGAUUUUAAAUUUAAGAGGAAGCCAAUAGCGAGACAGGAGAGAAUUUUCGAGUAAAUUCCUGUAAAUUUACGACUGUAUUUUUGUCAUGUUAAAACUUUAUUUUUACAGAUUUCCACAAAUUUACAACUUUCUUCCCCAAAUCUCUUUUUUUCUGCCUCCUCUGGUGUAAAUAUGACAUUAAAGUGACUAAAAUUUAACCACUUAAAUGUAAAAAUAAGCAGCACAGUAGGGAAAUUCAUAGUAGUAUCCCUAAAGUGGUCUUAAAAACUUUUCAAAAGACCAAUUUAAAAUGAAGUAUCAUGACUUAAUCCUGUAUUUGGUAUGUUCUGUAUUUUCAUGAGAUGUUAUCUGACAGAUGGAGGCUGAUAAGCGAGUAUUUGGAGUUUCUACUGUACAGACUGAGGUCUCUCUGCUCUGCUGUUUGCCUCACUGACUUUGAUGCCACAUCAUGUGUUUGUGUUUCAGAAAUCCCCAGAGAAGCCCGCUCGGUAUUUUCUUCACCUGCUUGUCAUGGGUCAACUCGCUCACUAAGCCGACUUUCUCUACAUUUCUGUACAAGUAUUCUUCGACCUUUAUGCUGGGUGUAAUUUAAUUUUCCCAUGCUGCUUUCAUGACCUGACAUAAAAAAAGCUGUUUUGUUUAUGGGAUUUGGUACUGCAGUGGACCCUGAGGCUUGUGGUGCUCUUCUACUCCUUACUCCUUUUUUUACUGCUUUUCUUAGAGCAAUCUUUUGU
Molecule: long non-coding RNA, 26319 nt
Filed under: Xyrichtys novacula (pearly razorfish)
Lineage: Eukaryota; Metazoa; Chordata; Actinopteri; Labriformes; Labridae
Source: RNAcentral